UGGGGGAUAUUGCACAAUGGGCGAAAGCCUGAUGCAGCGACGCCGCGUAGGGGAUGAAGGCUUUCGGGUUGUAAACCUCUUUCGCUAUCGAACAAGGCCCGCUUAGGGUGGGUUGAGGGUAGGUGGAGAAGAAGCGCCGGCUAACUACGUGCCAGCAGCCGCGGUAAUACGUAGGGCGCGAGCGUUGUCCGGAAUUAUUGGGCGUAAAGGGCUUGUAGGCGGCUUGUUGCGCCUGCUGUGAAAACGCGGGGCUUAACUUCGCGCGUGCAGUGGGUACGGGCAGGCUUGAGUGUGGUAGGGGUGACUGGAAUUCCAGGUGUAGCGGUGGAAUGCGCAGAUAUCUGGAGGAACACCGAUGGCGAAGGCAGGUCACUGGGCCAUUACUGACGCUGAGGAGCGAAAGCAUGGGUAGCGAACAGG
This 420-nucleotide ribosomal RNA is filed under the name bacterium. RNAcentral describes it as "partial 16S ribosomal RNA". It matches the Rfam family "Bacterial small subunit ribosomal RNA", at positions 355 to 776 of the family's 1533-position model. The record is from RNAcentral.